Long non-coding RNA from Gavialis gangeticus (Gharial), 311 nucleotides. RefSeq lists it as uncharacterized. The record is from RefSeq and is a predicted model, not a curated record. The transcript is spliced from 3 exons. NCBI's taxonomy places the organism in Eukaryota, Metazoa, Chordata, Crocodylia, Gavialidae.
CUCAGGCUCUCAUUUUACAAUCAGAAAGCUCAGCAAUCAGCAGUAUAUAGUAGUGAGCAGAAGCAGAAAAAAGAAAGCACUGUCCCUGGAGGGAUUAAGCCAAGAGUGCCUGUAGCUUUUGUGGAGGUUUGAGGAAGCAUGUGUAAGGAACCAGGAAUGCUUUCUAAUAUCUAAGACACAUCAGGGUUGAGGGCAGUGAUUUUGAUGAAGGAUAACUGCUGCAUUUGGUAUGGUGAGUGAAUCAUACUUGGAUCAUUUGCAAAUUGUUUUCAGAGUCUUCUACCUAUUAUGAUUCAAGUGGGCCAAAGCUA